UGUUUUCGAAAAAUGAGUUUCGUUUAGUGGUACAAUUUCCUUACAUUUUGCCUGUCUGCAGAAGGAGAAUUUAGUGACUUGUUGGUAAACACGGCGACGGGCAUAUUUAUAUUAGUACACGAAUUUCUUCUGCUUUCUGCAGACAUAAUUUGAAUUAAAAUUAUGGAUAACAGUCUUAUAGUUGAUGGUCUGAAUAUUGCUGAACUGACUGACGAUGAACUUUCUGAAAGGUUGCAAAAUCUGGGUUUUAUACCAGGUCCUAUUUUAGUCCAGUGCAGCAUGUAUCCUCACCAAACUCCUUGAGUGUCCCAGGGGCACAUGAUCAACACUUUGGGAAACAUUGCCUUAAGGUCGUAAGUGCUGCUU
Molecule: long non-coding RNA, 366 nt
Filed under: Stegodyphus dumicola
Lineage: Eukaryota; Metazoa; Arthropoda; Arachnida; Araneae; Eresidae
Description: uncharacterized LOC118201165, transcript variant X2
Source: RNAcentral